CCUACGGGGUGCUGCAGUAGGGAAUUUUGCGCAAUGGGCGAAAGCCUGACGCAGCAACGCCGCGUGAUCGAGACGCCCUUCGGGGUGUAAAGAUCUGUCAGUGGGGACGAAACUUGACGGUACCCACAGAGGAAGCACCGGCUAACACCGUGCCAGCAGCCGCGGUAAUACGGGGGGUGCAAGCGUUGUCCGGAAUCAUUGGGCGUAAAGAGUUCGUAGGCGGCACGUAAAGUCUGGUGUUAAAGGCAGAGGCUCAACUUCUGUACGGCACUGGAUACUUGCGAGCUAGAAUGCGGUAGGGGUGAAGGGAAUUCCGGGUGUAGCGGUGAACUGCUUAGAUAUCAGGAGGAACAUCGGGGGCGUAAGCGCUUUACUGGGCCGUAAUUGGCGCUGGGGAGCGAGAGCCAGGGUAGCAAAUGGGAUUAGAUACCCGUGGUC
RNAcentral lists this ribosomal RNA (438 nucleotides) under uncultured bacterium. RNAcentral's name for it is "partial 16S ribosomal RNA". It matches the Rfam family "Bacterial small subunit ribosomal RNA", at positions 338 to 795 of the family's 1533-position model. The record is from RNAcentral.